Molecule: long non-coding RNA, 1519 nt
Organism: Homo sapiens (human)
Lineage: Eukaryota; Metazoa; Chordata; Mammalia; Primates; Hominidae
Product: long intergenic non-protein coding RNA 1115
Source: Ensembl
ACCUCGCAGGCAGCGCGUUUACGUCAGAGCGCCCGAGUCCACGGACCUCGCAGGCAGCGCGUUUACGUCAGAGCUCCCGAGUCCACGCACCUCGCAGGCAGUACGUUUACCUCAGAGCUCCCGAGUCCACCGACCUCGCAGGCAGCGCGUUUACGUCAGAGCUCCCGAGUCCACGCACCUCGCAGGCAGUGUAUUUACAUGGAAAUUGGAUCGAGGCACUGACGUUUAAAUCUUGGCUCCUGCUCCUGCCGUCUAGACAAAGGGCGCACCCAUUGCCGUCUCAGACACCAGAGGCUCCCACUUGACCAGAAACCCACUCCUGCGAUGAAGGAUGAAUCUUCCUGAGGGCAGAGCUCUUACCGCCCACUCGCCCCUCUAAGUUCCCACCUCCCAAGGCCGUGUCUCUGGGGAUGAAGUUUCCAACACACAAACAUUGGGGGCACCUUCAAGCCACGGUGUCCUGUAAACCAGCGUUCCAGCAUUUGCCAAAUGGUGUUUCUUUUACCAGGAGAUAAGGACUCUGAUCAGGUCCUUUGGAAAGAGCAAGGGAAGCUGUUCAUGUUCUAUCCUGCGUGUUCUCGAGAAAGUUUUGAUGACAGAAAACAUCACACAGAAAGGGGAAGGCAUCGCAAGUUUCCAGCUCCAUGGAUUUUUGCAAACUGAGCACAUUUGUGGGCCAGGAGUGGGGCCCACAGCGAGAAUAUCCUUCCUGCUGCUCCUGCCAUCCAUCCACCAGCACAGCCAGUUCCCAGCUGUGGAACACACAGAGCUGUGCACUGUUGAGUUGAUCACGAUGAGAACAGUGAGUGUCUCUCACCUGUGGCUGCACUUGCUGGAAGCACCGCCUGCUCUGGCCUCUUUGCUCCAGAACAUUCCCUGCUGAACAGUGACACCAGGGAAGGCCAAGGAUGGGCACACAAGGCUCAGUCCUUCACCUGAUGGCGGCUUGGCCAUGUUCAUCUUUCCCUUUUCUCAAAGACCUGUGUGGGGCCAGAGAAAGCUGGGGUUUCCGGUGGCCUGCAGUGUGGCAGAAAGCAGAGCCUUCCACUGGGAAAAGGGGAAAAAGGGAAUUCUUCCGAAGAGAAGGAUGAAGCCAGCAGCAGGGGUCCCGGCAGGCCUGACCCCCAUGGAGCUGAUGAGGCCGAGUGUCAGGAAGCACUCCCAUUGUCCUCGAAAACAGACACAGGUCAACCUGCGUUACGGGGUCUGCGAGGUCAUCAGAUAACCCCACAGUGUCGAAUACUGUAACUACAUGCCUGCCUAAGAUGACCUGGUAUACUGUAGGUGCACACAAGAUUCUCCAUAGUGAAAGUACAUAUACAAUUGUUGCUAAUUUUUGAUCCUAGAAAAUCCACUGGAUUGAUACUUUAGAAGAGGAUAAUGGAUAAAAUCAAUCGAUCGGAAAAUUCAAAUAUUUAGAAAAUACUAGUUUCAAUCUACUGUAAAAAUAUCAUAAAUUUGUACUGAACUAUUUUUCCUUAUUACAAAAAUAUUCGAGCAAUAAAAAUGUCGGAUAUUA